CAGUAGCCACGGUAAAACGAGGGGGGCAAGCGUUGUUCGGAUUUAUUGGGCGUAAAGGGUGCGUAGGCGGUUUAGUAAGUCAGUGGUGAAAGCCCAUCGCUCAACGGUGGAACGGCCAUUGAUACUGCUGAACUUGAAUUAUUAGGAAGUAACUAGAAUAUGUUGUGUAGCGGUGAAAUGCUUAGAGAUUACAUGGAAUACCAAUUGCGAAGGCAGGUUACUACUAAUUGAUUGACGCUGAUGGACGAAAGCGUGGGGAGCGAACAGGAUUAGAUACCCCAGUAGUCCCUGUCUCUUAUAC
This 301-nucleotide ribosomal RNA is filed under the name uncultured bacterium. Its description in RNAcentral is "partial 16S ribosomal RNA". It matches the Rfam family "Bacterial small subunit ribosomal RNA", at positions 509 to 807 of the family's 1533-position model. The record is from RNAcentral.